Molecule: non-coding RNA, 514 nt
Filed under: Pongo abelii (Sumatran orangutan)
Lineage: Eukaryota; Metazoa; Chordata; Mammalia; Primates; Hominidae
Source: RNAcentral
UAAAGGUGAGCCACAGACAUGCAGCACCACCAGAGACAACACCCCGUGGCAAGAAGACCAUGUUCUGGACUGUCUCCGUAUUGCCACGGGCACAGAAGAAGGAGAAAACCACAGGAGUCCCACGAAGGUGCAGAGGUCUACACAGGAGUUCAGGAUAGACAUCUUGCUGGCAGGACAUGGCCAUAGACUCCUCUAACUUAUUCCCCAAAGUGCAAGAGCAGGUCUUCUUCAGUCCAUCCUUCUAACCUGUCCAGAGCAGCUGUAUGCUUACUGCCAGAUCACUCUACCCUUCUGGGGCAACAGGACUCUAGCCCUGAGGACUCUGCAAAGCUAGGCCCCUGAUGGUCUACUAUGCUUAGAGACCAUUAUGCAUGGGGCUCUUUGGGCUUCUGAAGGGCUCCCUGGGAGAAACUGCCUUCUAAAUCUGACUACUAAGAUGAUACUAUGGGAACAGAUUGUGAGGACAGAAAGAAAAAAAUAAAUAAAAAUUAAAAACGUAGAAAAAAGAAAAAAA